UACGUAGGGAGCAAGCGUUGUCCGGAAUCAUUGGGCGUAAGGCGCGCGUAGGUGGCUUCGUAAGUCCGUUGUGAAAGUCAAAGGCUCAACCUUUGAAAGCCGAUGGAUACUGUGAAGCUAGAGUACGGAAGAGGCGAGUGGAAUUCCUGGUGUAGCGGUGGAAUGCGCAGAUAUCAGGAGGAACACCAAUAGCGAAGGCAGCUCGCUGGGACGUUACUGACACUGAGGCGCGAAAGCGUGGGGAGCGAACAGG
This 253-nucleotide ribosomal RNA is filed under the name uncultured bacterium. RNAcentral's name for it is "partial 16S ribosomal RNA". It matches the Rfam family "Bacterial small subunit ribosomal RNA", at positions 524 to 776 of the family's 1533-position model. The record is from RNAcentral.